UUUUUUUCCUCUUCUUCUCUCGUCGAUUCCCCUUUUCCCUUCUUCACCCGCGCCAAUCCCUUCUCGCGUUGCCGCCGCAUCUCUUUCCUCUUCCUCCUCGUUCUUCUCGGCACCGAUCAACGCCCGAGCGUUGACAGCCGAACUUCUCUUCCUCUUCCCGAGCUCACGCUAACCUUUUCCCUUCUUCAUUGCGGCGCUGGAGACACUCGAGCCACCGUCGGUCGAGCCACCGUCGGUCGAGCUCCUUCUUCCUUUUCCUCGCGGACACCAGAAGCUCGCCGCCACGUGUGCCCUAGCAUUGAGCCUUCUCAGGGCAUCUCCGCCUGAAGCCGCCAUCUGGAUCAGUGGCCCUUGCGAACAGCCAACCCUAGCGAGCUCCGCUCAGCUGUCAAGCCGCCAAUUACUGCUAAGCCUUCUACAAUCGCCGAAGAGCUACCACCACUGGAGAUCAGGGCUACAUCAGGCCAUCCCUUCUGGCAGCAAGGUCCAGUGAAUCAAUCAGGAAACAUCUAAGAUUCAGGUAACAGGUAGAUGAGUCAUAGAUGCUUGGAGAGUCCCGGCUGCCAGUCCCAUGACGCACUCGAGGAUAGUUUCUUUUUCUGGUUUUAGUUACUAACGCUAUUUAUGUUUUGGUUUUGUGAACUUGGUAUUGUAUGCUUCGAUAUGGAUUAUGGAGUUUAGUCUGGUAGUUGUAGGUAAUUCUGUUAGUGACUUUGUCGGUCAUACAUUUGUUUUCUUUUUGUGAUUUCCGCUGCGUUUA
This is a long non-coding RNA of Zingiber officinale, 760 nucleotides long. RefSeq lists it as uncharacterized. The record is from RefSeq and is a predicted model, not a curated record. The transcript is spliced from 2 exons. Lineage: Eukaryota; Viridiplantae; Streptophyta; Magnoliopsida; Zingiberales; Zingiberaceae.